This 208-nucleotide unclassified non-coding RNA is filed under the name Pectinophora gossypiella (pink bollworm). Its description in RNAcentral is "homeobox protein abdominal-A homolog". The record is from RNAcentral. Lineage: Eukaryota; Metazoa; Arthropoda; Insecta; Lepidoptera; Gelechiidae.
CACGCGCCUCGCUCAGCGUGCAGGGCCUUAAACAACUGUGAGUGAUUUAAAAUUCGAAUUGAAUUCAACGGAUAUGCUGGACCUAAACUUCGAACACAAAUACAUAAAUAAAAAGAUGCACAAAGAACAUGGAUAACAUCUAUACAGACGCAGAUACAUUGGACUGUAUUAAGAGGUGAAAUGUGACCAGCAUCGGAUUGGAUGAGCC